GACGAACGCUGGCGGCGUGCCUAAUACAUGCAAGUCGAACGAGCAGAACCAGCAGAUUUACUUCGGUAAUGACGCUGGGGACGCGAGCGGCGGAUGGGUGAGUAACACGUGGGGAACCUGCCCCAUAGUCUGGGGGUACCACUUGGAAACGGGUGCUAAUACCGGAUAAGAAAGCAGAUCGCAUGAUCAGCUUAUAAAAGGCGGCGUAAGCUGUCGCUAUGGGAUGGCCCCGCGGUGCAUUAGCUAGUUGGUAAGGUAACGGCUUACCAAGGCGAUGAUGCAUAGCCGAGUUGAGAGACUGAUCGGCCACAUCGGGACUGAGACACGGCCCAAACUCCUACGGGAGGCAGCAGUAGGGAAUCUUCCACAAUGGGCGCAAGUCUGAUGGAGCAACGCCGCGUGAGUGAAGAGGUUUUCGGAUCGUAAAGCUCUGUUG
RNAcentral lists this ribosomal RNA (436 nucleotides) under uncultured Lactobacillus sp. Its description in RNAcentral is "bacterial SSU rRNA". It matches the Rfam family "Bacterial small subunit ribosomal RNA", at positions 28 to 438 of the family's 1533-position model. Lineage: Bacteria; Bacillati; Bacillota; Bacilli; Lactobacillales; Lactobacillaceae. The record is from RNAcentral.